Scatophagus argus is the source of this 2441-nucleotide long non-coding RNA. RefSeq lists it as uncharacterized. Lineage: Eukaryota; Metazoa; Chordata; Actinopteri; Scatophagidae. The transcript has 3 exons. The record is from RefSeq and is a predicted model, not a curated record.
CAGUCAGACUGCUUUAUGUUUCGUGUUUUCUCUUUUGUUUUGUUAGAUUUCUCCUGUUGCAUUAUUGUUAUCCUGCGAUUUCCUGUCUUUAUCUUUAUUCCUGCCUCUGUGAUUGCUGGCUCCGCCCUGAUUAGGUUCACCUGUGUCUAGUUUAGUUCCAUGUAUACACCCAUGUGCUUUCCCUGUGUUUAGUUACCAGUUCAUUAUGUACCACAGCAUCAUUUGUUCCAGCAUUACUUCUGCUUGUUUCAACCUUGCCUUGGUCAUCCUUCUGUUUUUGUUUGCCUGCGUUAACUGCCUACCUGUGUACCAAACUCUUGCCUGUGAACUGAAGAUGUGAAUGAAAACAACCACGUGAGCGUGUCCAUGUCUCAGAAGGCAUUGCCACAUUGAGUGGAGGUAACACAGCUGUACACUGCCAUUAUGAAACCCAGAGGAACGCUGUGGUUGGCUUCACUGGAAGUCUCGUCUGCUGCCUGGGCAAUUGCUCUGUCCGCAGCUCACGUUUUAACCGGAGCGCCAAAGCAAACCAGACUUGUACUGUUGCUCAGGACUCCACCAGAUCAUGUUUCUCUUGCUGUUUGUCCUGUUUUGAUGCCAUGUUUGUGGAAUUCUCGCCACAUUAUCUUUAUUAUUUAUCCAAAUUUUUGUUUUGCAUUGUAGAGAUCGGGUUCUGUAGUUUGUGCUCACUCAUCUCUCAGUUUUCAGUGUAAAUAUUCCUAUUCAUUUGAAAUUAAGAAGAAUUCCCAAAACAACAGAAGUGAAUCUUGAUAAUCACUCUUGUGCAUAUUUUAUUCAUGAUGUGUCAAAUAAACAACACCACCACAACAACAGCAGAAUAGCAUCCAGGUAAAUCCCUCACACAAAGUUUAAACUAAUGUGAUUAUAAUUUUUAAUAAUUAAUAAGAAGUCACCAAGAGCAGCAUUGUAUUAUUUUUGAACUCCUACUUCCUAAGUUCCAUAAAUAGUCCAAUGAAGGAAACUGCAGUGUUGAUGAGGAGUGAGAGAUGACUUUUUUUGGAUGAAUCAAGCGGAAGAUUUUAGAGAGUGGAGCUGUCACUUGUGAUGGACUAUCUGUAUUCAGGUCGACCCUUUCUCCAACAGCAGCCUCACAGCCUCUGAAUAGCAGGAAACCGGUCGUAUAAAUAAUUCUGUGGUCUUAUGCCUGAUGGAGAGAGCUGAUAAAAACAACAGAAAUCAACAUAUAUGGCCGAGCCAACAGGGAAACAAUAUGUUGCCAGAAAAGAAGCUGACUGUGACACUGUGCUCCAUGCUUAUUUUAGUUCACAAUUCUUUCUUGGUGUAACUUGAGGGACGUGGGGAAGUGGGACUUGUUGCUUGUUGUUGCUUUUGCUUUUCACAAAUAUCCUAUGAACACUGAUUUUAGUAUCUGUUUGUUUUUUGGAUAACUUGUGAUUAUUGGGAAAAAGUUUACUCACAGUUUACCAAAGAAACAGGGAGUGGAGGGAGAAGAGACGUAGGCACAAUGUAAGAUAUUGCAAAAUUAUGCUAUUUUACAGAAGCAAAGACUGAAUUUACUCAUGCUGUGCUCAUAAAAGUGCAAGGUCAGCACAGUCUACUUUUAAAUGUGCAAAAUGCCAACACCCAAGUCAACAUUUAAAGUAGUGAACCGCCACCUGAAUAUUACACACAGCAGUGCUGUUCCUGCUUGCCUGGUGCAUUGAUUGGUUUUAAGGAAUUUCCAUGUGAUUAUGUGACGUUUUUCCAAGAAACUUACAGGGUUAGCUGUAGGUAGUGUCUUUCCUCCUUCAUAGUUCUGAGAAGCCCGGAAGAACUCUAAGAGGGAAAAGCAUGUUUACUCUAUUGAUUUCCCUUUGUUUGUACACACUUUUAGCUCUUGGAAGUUCAUUCUAAAGGAGGCUCCUUAUUUAACAGAGCUUAAUAAUAUUUCCUAUUUAAAGAACAAGGACAAGUUUUUACUGGAACUGGCAUGAAGAUUAGAGGAUAAGAACUUUCCAUGACUAAGAUGAGAUGCUGGCAAGCUAAAAAAAAUAGAUCAUAAAAACUGUUAUGAAAUCUAGUUGAAAGAGAGAAAACAUUUAGUCUAAAAGUUGACUGUAAUCACUUUUUGUGACUAAAACUGGACUACACUGACAAAACUGACCGUUGUUGGAUAGAUUUCCAUGAAAUUUUGUACAGACGUCCAUGUCUCCUUCAGGAUGGCCACGGUCCCUUUACUUAUAGCACCAUUAUAAGGACAAAUAUUCACUUUGUCCAAUACUUUGGUUCCAGCCUCAGCUGUACUUUGUCGUACUGUGUAACUGUUUAACAGCUAACAUGCUAAAUAAAUUAGGAUGGCAAAAUGGUCAAAAUGAUACCUUUUUACCUACAUGUUAGCAUUGUCCUUGUGAGCAUGUUAGCAUGUGUAUGAAUUUAGCUUAAAACAACAAACAUAUGCUAAAGUUGCUCUUCAAAUACUC